CGGCCGCGUCGACGAGACACGGACCAAACUCCUACGGGAGGCAGCAGUGAGGAAUAUUGGUCAAUGGCCGAGAGGCUGAACCAGCCAAGUCGCGUGAAGGAUGAAGGAUCUAUGGUUUGUAAACUUCUUUUAUACGGGAAUAAAGUGAGUCACGUGUGGCUUUUUGUAUGUACCGUAUGAAUAAGCAUCGGCUAACUCCGUGCCAGCAGCCGCGGUAAUACGGAGGAUGCGAGCGUUAUCCGGAUUUAUUGGGUUUAAAGGGAGCGUAGGCGGGAGAUUAAGUCAGCUGUGAAAGUUCGGGGCUCAACCUUGGAAUUGCAGUUGAAACUGGUUUUCUUGAGUGCGGCAGAGGCAGGCGGAAUUCGUGGUGUAGCGGUGAAAUGCUUAGAUAUCACGAAGAACCC
Molecule: ribosomal RNA, 404 nt
Filed under: uncultured Bacteroides sp.
Lineage: Bacteria; Pseudomonadati; Bacteroidota; Bacteroidia; Bacteroidales; Bacteroidaceae
Description: bacterial SSU rRNA
Rfam family: Bacterial small subunit ribosomal RNA
Source: RNAcentral